AGGAAAGUCAGUCUGCUUUUGAUGAGGAGGUUCAGGAAGGCAUUAUUUGUCUCAAUCUAUCCCCUCUCCCCAACAGUGAACAAGAAAGCAGAUAUCCUUGCUGACUGUUGGCAGCCGUUGUGGGACCACAAAGGCACCAGCCUCAGGAGAUGGGAAGACUGAGUUGCCAGGGACGUUGCUGAGCCAUUAGAGCCAUCCUUACCCACAAGCCCACCCCACCUUGGGACUUCCUCUUGGGCAAGUCUGUGAAUCUCCAUGUUGUUGAAUCCGUUUUGAAUUGGCUUUUCUUUUUCUUGAAGCUCAAGGCAUUUUAAUUGGCAUAACCUAGCCUAUAAAAGGAAGAUUAAUUUCCUUGACCGCAAGAAAGUGGAAUUCGAAUUAGAGGGAAUGAGAUAUUGAGAUAUCUCCCUCCAUAGCCAGAGCUGCCUUGCAAGACAGCAGGGUUCAGGCUUCGAGUUGUGGUGCAAUUGGCCCACAUCCACCCCACCCUCUCUUCACGCAGCAGAUGACUGGGACAUAAAGAAGCUGAUGGGGCCACUGCCACCGAAUUUCCACCUGCAGCCCUUCUCGGGGGCCACCACCAUGCUCCUCAACAGCUGUCACUGACAGGACAGAGCUUGAGGAUCUUGAGGAGCUACUGACCCUGCAGAACCGCUCUGAGACCAGGGGGAGCUUUUCCAGGUGAAACGAUUCAUGGCUAGGCUGAUUUAACUAAUGGGUUUUUCAUCAGAGUAAUACAUAUUCAGAUAUGUCCCAUGCUCAGUGAUGGCAUCAAGCAAUGUCAGGAUUAGAUGGGAAAUUAGAGGCAAUUUGCUCCAAGUGUCUACUUGUGUACCCUCCACAGACGUAUCCAUGCAAUGGUCUUCUGUCUUCUAGGAAGCUCCCAAGUUCAUUUUUUAUUCAAAGCGAACCAGGAGAGUUCUGUCUACACUCAUUUCUAUGCAUAGAACUUGACGCUUUAAAAAGACAAUGCUGAAUUCUAGUUUCCCUGCCCCUACACCAGCCCAAUCCUCUGUUCUUAUUCCCAUCUGACGGUGUCACCCAGGGCACUAACCCAGUAGUACCAGGCACCGAAUAGGCAUCCAGUAGGUGUUGAAUGUCGUAUGUAGCGGACAAGGGCCACUUUGGAAAGUCAUGUUUCAUCGCUUCACUCCUCCCUGUGAGUCUGGGUGCUCUGAAGCCCCUCUCUCGAUCCCCCCAUGAGACACACAGAAUUUAGACCCUGUCAUCAAUGUUAAAGGUCAGCUAACAUGGUUUCCAAACCAAGCAUGUGUCACCAUGUAUCACUUGGGCUUGAACCCAGGUUGGCUGAAUUAUCCAUGCAUCUAGGCAACCACCUAUACAUCCAUUCAUGCAGCUCAUGGAAAUGUUUGGAGUGCAAGCACAGUUCCAGGUGUUGUGGCAGAUACAAAGAAUAUGAUAGAGGGCCUGGUCCUGGUGGAUCCAGGAUGUUGUGGGGGAGACUGUUCUAAUGAGCCAUCUCUGUGUUGAGUUAUGUGAUAAGAGCUGUGAUAGAGAUUCUGCAAAGAAUCCGGGCCUGGGCAUUCAGGCCUGGGAUCUGCACAAGUGGGUCCUCGUGCUGCCCUUAUUUAAGGCUCAAAAGGUACCACUCUCCCAGACAUCAAUACCACUUCACUGUCAAAUUUCCCUUCCCACAAUCCUGUCCUGUGGUGGUGUGCUGGAGAGGGAGCAUUACCUCCAGUGUCCCUUAACCAUACCUAAGAAUAUAACUACACAGGCAGAUCACGAGGUCAGGAGAUCGAGACCAUCCUGGCUAACAUGGUGAAACCCCAUCUGUACUAAAAAUACAAAAAA
Long non-coding RNA from Homo sapiens (human), 1815 nucleotides. Lineage: Eukaryota; Metazoa; Chordata; Mammalia; Primates; Hominidae. The record is from Ensembl.